This 433-nucleotide ribosomal RNA is filed under the name uncultured bacterium. RNAcentral describes it as "partial 16S ribosomal RNA". It matches the Rfam family "Bacterial small subunit ribosomal RNA", at positions 29 to 507 of the family's 1533-position model. The record is from RNAcentral.
AACGAACGCUGGCGGCAUGCCUAACACAUGCAAGUCGAACGAAGGCUUCGGCCUUAGUGGCGCACGGGUGCGUAACGCGUGGGAAUCUGCCCUUUGGUUCGGAAUAACAGCUGGAAACGGCUGCUAAUACCGGAUGAUGACGAAAGUCCAAAGAUUUAUCGCCAGAGGAUGAGCCCGCGUUGGAUUAGGUAGUUGGUGGGGUAAAGGCCUACCAAGCCGACGAUCCAUAGCUGGUCUGAGAGGAUGAUCAGCCACACUGGGACUGAGACACGGCCCAGACUCCUACGGGAGGCAGCAGUGGGGAAUAUUGGACAAUGGGCGCAAGCCUGAUCCAGCAAUGCCGCGUGAGUGAUGAAGGCCCUAGGGUUGUAAAGCUCUUUUACCCGGGAAAAUAAUGACUGUACCGGGAGAAUAAGCCCCGGCUAACUCCGUG